This 610-nucleotide ribosomal RNA is filed under the name uncultured Pseudomonadota bacterium. RNAcentral describes it as "bacterial SSU rRNA". It matches the Rfam family "Bacterial small subunit ribosomal RNA", at positions 38 to 637 of the family's 1533-position model. Lineage: Bacteria; Pseudomonadati; Pseudomonadota. The record is from RNAcentral.
GGCGGUGCUAACACAUGCAAGUCGAACGGCAGCACAGAGGAGCUUGCUCCUUGGGUGGCGAGUGGCGGACGGGUGAGGAAUACAUCGGAAUCUACUCUGUCGUGGGGGAUAACGUAGGGAAACUUACGCUAAUACCGCAUACGACCUACGGGUGAAAGCAGGGGAUCUUCGGACCUUGCGCGAUUGAAUGAGCCGAUGUCGGAUUAGCUAGUUGGCGGGGUAAAGGCCCACCAAGGCGACGAUCCGUAGCUGGUCUGAGAGGAUGAUCAGCCACACUGGAACUGAGACACGGUCCAGACUCCUACGGGAGGCAGCAGUGGGGAAUAUUGGACAAUGGGCGCAAGCCUGAUCCAGCCAUACCGCGUGGGUGAAGAAGGCCUUCGGGUUGUAAAGCCCUUUUGUAGGGAAAGAAAUCCAACUGGUUAAUACCCGGUUGGGAUGACCGGUACCCAAAGAAUAAGCACCGGCUAACUUCGUGCCAGCAGACGCGGUAAUACGAAGGGUGCAAGCGUUACUCGGAAUUACUGGGCGUAAAGCGUGCGUAGGUGGUUAUUAAAGUUCCGUUGUGAAAGCCCUGGGCUUCAAGCUGGGAACUGCAGUGGAUACUGGA